UGUCCAAAGGGAGGGUACAAGGAUGGUGAAGGGUCAUGGAGGGGAAGCGGGGAAGCAGCUGAGGACCCUGCGUUUGCUCAGCCCAGAGCAGAGGAGCUGAGGGGAGGCCUCAUGGCUGCAGCUCCUCACAGGGAGCGGAGGGGCAGCGCUGAGCUCUGCCCUGUGUGACAGCGACAGGGCCCGAGGGAAUGGCGUGGAGCUGCGUCAGGGGAGGAGCAGCUGGGCUUAGGGAAAGGGUUCUAGCGCGGUGGGCACGGCCCCAGGCUGCCGAAGUUCAAUCAGCAUUAGGACAGCACUCUCAGACAUAGGGUUUGGAUUUGGGAUGACGCUGUGUGGAGCCAGGAGCUGGACUCGAUGAUCCUUAUGGCUCCCUUCCAACCCGAGAUACUCCGAUUCGGUGAACCGAACCGCCCGUCUCAGACAAGGCCGGACGUGCCCCGAGCGGCGCAGAGGCGGCCGCCAGGUGUCAGCCUCACCCCGCAGAGCCGCUCCCGCCUCGCAGCGAGCGCCGCGAACGUCGGAUCCCGCAGUUCCCACCCACAGCAGUUCUCUCGUGAGGGGUAACGGUUCCGCGCGUCGCCAGCGAGAUCAGGGAGGGCUGUACCCAGCAAUGGCUGUGUAGGUUCAAAUGUUGAAGCAGCCGUUGCCAUGGAGACUGCUGCAUCAGCUGGAUUGUAACCAGAAAGACCACUGCAACUAAGUGAUGGAUCCGUCCCUGAAUCUGUGGUCAGUUUUGAGAACGGAUGGAGAGAAGUAGUCAUAAAAUGCAUGUGUUUCCU
This 779-nucleotide long non-coding RNA is filed under the name Gallus gallus (chicken). RNAcentral's name for it is "long non-coding RNA NONGGAT003824". Lineage: Eukaryota; Metazoa; Chordata; Aves; Galliformes; Phasianidae. The record is from RNAcentral.